GUUUGGGAAGGCUCGCCAGCAAUAUACGACGGGCGGAGCGUGGCCGUUUACAUUCGCCAAUUCAGUACAUCGCGUUGGACUUAAUCUUUUGCUGGAGGGAAGAAUGGACAUUACGCGUCGUGAACUCACGGCGGCCGGUGUUUGCGCCGGCGGCUGGGUCCGUCGGCACGCCGGUGUGCGGCAUGCCGACCCGAUAGACAC
Molecule: small RNA, 201 nt
Filed under: Sinorhizobium meliloti 2011
Lineage: Bacteria; Pseudomonadati; Pseudomonadota; Alphaproteobacteria; Hyphomicrobiales; Rhizobiaceae
Description: putative ncRNA
Source: RNAcentral